This 648-nucleotide ribosomal RNA is filed under the name Pseudozyma sp. HB75-4. Its description in RNAcentral is "eukaryotic LSU rRNA". It matches the Rfam family "Eukaryotic large subunit ribosomal RNA", at positions 38 to 667 of the family's 3401-position model. Lineage: Eukaryota; Fungi; Basidiomycota; Ustilaginomycetes; Ustilaginales; Ustilaginaceae. The record is from RNAcentral. RNAcentral also lists the same sequence under 5 other names.
GCGUAUCAAUAAGCGGAGGAAAAGAAACUAACAAGGAUUCCCCUAGUAACGGCGAGUGAAGAGGGAAGAGCCCAAGAUUGAAAGCUGGCGUCUUCGGCGUCCGCAUUGUAAUCUCAAGAAGUGUUUUCCGCUUCGGACCAAGCCUAAGUCCCUUGGAAAAGGGCAUCAUAGAGGGUGAUAAUCCCGUACAUGGCUUGGAGCGCCCGAAGCUUUGUGAUACGCUUUCUAAGAGUCGAGUUGUUUGGGAAUGCAGCUCAAAAUGGGUGGUAAAUGCCAUCUAAGGCUAAAUAUUGGGGAGAGACCGAUAGCGAACAAGUACAGUGAUGGAAAGAUGAAAAGAACUUUGAAAAGAGAGUUAAACAGUACGUGAAAUUGCCAAAAGGGAAGGGUAGGAGGUCAGAGAUGCGGCCUGGGAUUCAGCCUUGCUUUUGCUUGGUGUUUUUCCCAGAUUGCAGGCCAACGUCGGUUUUGGGCACUGGAGAAGGGUAGGAGGAACGUGGCACCUCUCGGGGUGUGUUAUAGCCUCCUACUGGAUACAGCGACCGAGACCGAGGACAGCAGCGUACUCGCAAGAGCGGGCCUUCGGGCACCUUUACGCUUAGGGCGUUGGCAUAAUGGCCCUCUACCACCCGUCUUGAAACACGGACC